GAUGAACGCUGGCGGCGUGCCUAAUACAUGCAAGUCGAGCGAACAGAUAAGGAGCUUGCUCCUUUGACGUUAGCGGCGGACGGGUGAGUAACACGUGGGUAACCUACCUAUAAGACUGGGAUAACUUCGGGAAACCGGAGCUAAUACCGGAUAAUAUUUCGAACCGCAUGGUUCGAUAGUGAAAGAUGGUUUUGCUAUCACUUAUAGAUGGACCCGCGCCGCAUUAGCUAGUUGGUAAGGUAACGGCUUACCAAGGCGACGAUACGUAGCCGACCUGAGAGGGUGAUCGGCCACACUGGAACUGAGACACGGUCCAGACUCCUACGGGAGGCAGCAGUAGGGAAUCUUCCGCAAAGGGCGAAAGCCUGACGGAGCAACGCCGCGUGAGUGAUGAAGGUCUUCGGAUCGUAAAACUCUGUUAUUAGGGAAGAACAUACGUGUAAGUAACUGUGCACGUCUUGACGGUACCUAAUCAGAAAGCCACGGCUAACUACGUG
RNAcentral lists this ribosomal RNA (497 nucleotides) under uncultured bacterium. Its description in RNAcentral is "partial 16S ribosomal RNA". It matches the Rfam family "Bacterial small subunit ribosomal RNA", at positions 28 to 507 of the family's 1533-position model. The record is from RNAcentral.